Molecule: non-coding RNA, 211 nt
Organism: Salvelinus sp. IW2-2015
Lineage: Eukaryota; Metazoa; Chordata; Actinopteri; Salmoniformes; Salmonidae
Source: RefSeq, a predicted model, not a curated record
AGGACAGAGUAGAGGUUGAUAGGACAGAGUUGAGGUUGAUAGGACAGAGUUGAGGUUGAUAGGAUAGAGUUGAGGUUGAUAGGACAGAGUUGAGGUUGAUAGGACAGAGUUGAGGUUGAUAGGACAGAGUAGAGGUUGAUAGGACAGAGUUGAGGUUGAUAGGAUAGAGUAGAGGUUGAUAGGACAGAGUAGAGGUUGAUAGGACAGAGUA